Amphimedon queenslandica is the source of this 871-nucleotide long non-coding RNA. RefSeq lists it as uncharacterized. The record is from RefSeq and is a predicted model, not a curated record. NCBI's taxonomy places the organism in Eukaryota, Metazoa, Porifera, Demospongiae, Haplosclerida, Niphatidae. The transcript is spliced from 3 exons.
UCCUCCCUAUAUAGCGGAGGGUCGGGCUGAGGGUAAAGAAACGAGACUAGGCCCGAACAAACAAAUCCUUAAACAGCUUCAGGGGAAGAACAUCACUUAAAGAGAAGAAGAAAAUCACUUAAAAAGAAGAGACAAAAUAUGCCUGGUUCUGAGCCAAGAGAUCUGACUACAGGAGAGGUAGUAGCCUGUGUUGUCACUGUAGGUCUAUACUAUCUUUAUCUCAAGGCCAAGGGUGACGUCUAGCAAGAUACAAAAAGGCCAUUUGGCAUUGUUACAAAAUGCCGCUCAUGGAUAACCAAACAUUACUGCUUUUAUCGUAAUUUUUACCUACUUUUAAUGACAUUUCUAAGUAUACACUGAAAUUAUUUUUUACUUUAAUCAUUGAAUUUACAUUGUCAAAACAAAAUAGAGCAAACGAGUGCACGUGCAUGGCAUCAUUAGUAAGCUCUCGUACCCCCGCUCCCACAAGUUAUGGUCAAUAACAUGUAGAAGGGAUUUUCCCGGGGGAAAGUCCAAGUAUCGGCAAUUCUUGAGCAAUAACAAUUAAGUCGUGGGUUCCAACUAAGAAAAGAAGUGAAGGAUAACAAUAACAAUAAUGACAAAUGGACAGAUAUCAGACGAAGGAAAGAAGGUCAGAAAAGGUGCAAUGAUUGGAGGAGCCAGUGGGGCCGCCAUAGGAGUAAUAGGAGGACCAAUUGGAAUAGUCAUUGGAGGAGCAGUAGGGGCUGGAGUAGGUGCAUUAGUGGGGUAUCUGAAAUUUCAACACUCACACUAACAGCACAAGAAAUAUUAGUAUUGUACUGCUUGUACAUGUACAUGUAUGUCAAAAUUGUCAAACUGAGAAAUUUAACGAAGAUAUAAAAUAAAUGAA